CUUAAUAUAUAUUUAAAUAAACUUAUAUAUUAUGUCUAAUGGAAGUAGAUAAGAUUGUGUAUGGAAUCGGUGUUGCUAUUGGUGAUGCAACUAUUGCAUCACCAAUAGCAACACAGUAGCACAUUUAAUUAAUACUGGUGUAACUUAUAGAUGUAAAGUCUGGACUCCGCAUUAUCUGAAAACGGAAACUCAGAAACAGAACUGAAACAUAGAGAUUUCGUUUUAACUUGACUCCACUAGAAAUUCACCAUUAGAGUAGUUUACUGACAAUAAGAAUUGAUAUUUUCAUUUAACAGAAUCCUCCAGAAAUUGCAAAGUCCUCUGUAUUGGAAAAGAAGAACACUGGUUACAGGCAGUGAAUUUUGAUAAAUUAUUUUCUGAAGUUUCUAAAAAUGACUUCAAAAGACGAAAAAAGAACUAAAAUCUCUCUUGUAGACACAAAGAAUCAUAUAUUAGAAUCUUACAGUGGCAUUCCUCAUCCUAAGCCAUCUUCAUCAUUUUCUCAACUUCAUUCAAUCAACAAAAGUCUUGGCUUUUUAAGUAUAAAAACAACAUCAAGUAAUAUCUUUCAAAGUAAUUUAAAGCCUCAAUCUUAUGAAUUUACAGAAACUGGAAAAAGAAAACUUAAUACAUAUUUUUCAAGUUCAUGUAAAAACAGAUUUUUGUUAAAUCAAAAUGUUACUAAUCCUUUUCUCUCAAAAGCCAUACCUAUUAAUUAAU
RNAcentral lists this unclassified non-coding RNA (720 nucleotides) under Centruroides sculpturatus (bark scorpion). RNAcentral describes it as "uncharacterized LOC111612563, transcript variant X4". Lineage: Eukaryota; Metazoa; Arthropoda; Arachnida; Scorpiones; Buthidae. The record is from RNAcentral.